This 304-nucleotide long non-coding RNA is filed under the name Manihot esculenta (cassava). RNAcentral describes it as "long non-coding RNA (MESC_LNC003644)". The record is from RNAcentral. Lineage: Eukaryota; Viridiplantae; Streptophyta; Magnoliopsida; Malpighiales; Euphorbiaceae.
AUCCUCACCUCCCCUUAUGUUUAAAGCAUGUUUUAAAGGGUUUAAGUGAGUUGUAUGGCUUGGUUUUGGGUGUAACCAUGAGUUGUGCAUAUGUUGAUCAUAUGUGAUUUGAUGAUGUUUGAGGUUACUUGUGGGGUUUGAGCUAGUGUUUAGGCCCCUAUAUGCAUGAGAUAUGAUAUGUGCUAGUUGUGGAAAGUUGGCAUGCGUGAGAUGGGUUUUUUUAGGUUUGUGGAGGCUGUUUGCAUAAAGUAGAGCAGGGUUCUGCCUUACUGGCAAACCCAGUUUCAGCCGUCGAAGGAAGGUU